Long non-coding RNA from Marmota monax (woodchuck), 1506 nucleotides. RefSeq lists it as uncharacterized. NCBI's taxonomy places the organism in Eukaryota, Metazoa, Chordata, Mammalia, Rodentia, Sciuridae. The record is from RefSeq and is a predicted model, not a curated record. The transcript is spliced from 2 exons.
GUCUACCAACGAGAGGCACCGCUUGAGGCCAGAGCGGCCUCCCAUCCCUGGAGGUCCACGUUGGUCUCCGCGCCGGGGCGGGGGCCCAGGGACUGCUCCUGUGCGUUGGGGGCGCCACUUUAUCCGUGAGUUCCAGACCUGUAUAUCCAACUACCUACCAGAUAUGUCUGGGAUGUUUCACAAAUUCCCAAGGCUUAACAUGUUUAUUGAACUUAUUCUCUCCCCACCCCUCAAAAAAGAACAAAUGUUGUAUUCGAUUCUCUUUCCUGAAUUCCCUAUAUUGUUGAAUGGAAUCAACUACUUGGCCACCAAGUGGGAAACAUGGAGGAAAUCAUGAAUUCCUCAUUUUUUUCUCAUUCUUGAUUUCAAGUUUACUACCAAGCCUUGUUGAUUCUCCUAUCAAAUAUCUUCCAAAUCUAUAUAUCCUCUUCCCAUUCCAAUCCAGACUCUUGUCAUUUCUUUUUUUCACUCAGAGAAGACUACAGUAGUCCCCUAAUUGUUCCCUGAUCUCAUCUCUCUCUGGUCUUGGCUGUUCUACAAGUGACCUGAAAAGGGAAACACUGAUCAAAUUUCACUGGUUUGAAACCUAUCAAUGGUUUUCCACUGCUGUGAGUUUGAUCUCUGGCCUAUGUGAGGAUGGCCUAAGGUCUGAGCCUAAGCAACUCCAUUUUAAAAACUCCAGUUUGAAAACUGCAGUCUCACCAUGCAUGCCUAAUGGAGAGACCACCAGUAUGGCCCUCAGGCACAAACAAGUCACUUCUCCCCACCCUGAUAAACUCAGAUUGAAGCCUCUGGCAGGCUGUUCAUGCCUGCCCAGGGAAAAGCACCCCAAAAGAGAGAAAGGCGAAAAGAUCAGGGUGGGAUCCACUACACCAGAUGGUUUAACCCCAGAGUAAAUGAUGUCACUGAGAAAUGGUGGCAGCUGGUAAGGAUUAAAAGGGGGACAAAAGCUCCAAAUUUGGUAUAAAUAACAGAGCAAAUGAACAGAUAUUCAGCCAGCCAACACUGAUGCCCUCACGCUGAGAGCCUGAUGAGGACCUGGACUGGCAUCUCAACACUUUUUAUUGUUGCUGAUCCUCUGCAUCUUCCUCACCACUCUUAAACUCUAUAGCCACAUCUUGACCCUGGUGACAGUCACAACUUCUCCCUAUGACCCUCUCCUCAACCAGCCAUCAGCUCCACCUCAGGAGAAGCCUGCCUUGGUUCCUGACCCGAUCACUCCAAUCUGAGUGAGUGUGCAUCUGCUGGACUUAAAGCCUAAGGCUUGAGACUUUUGAUCUGACACGCAGAGGGAAUGUGUGUCAUUAGCCUGUCAUAAUUAAGUGUUUGCAGUGUUUAGAAUUAAUCUAGAAUGGUUUGCUGGGAAUCAAUCUAGAAUUGUUUGCUGUGAAUUGAUUAUGUUGUUGCAGUGUCUAACAUUAAGGGUUGUCGUUUUCUCGAUUAAGAACCUAUAGAGUGAAAUUGUAUUGAGUGAUUUGAGUGAAUAAAGCAUUGACUAGGGCACAA